GGCCUCGUAGCUCAGCUGGUGGAGCAUGCGCGUACAAAGCGUAGGCAGUGUCCAUGCGUGGGUUCGAAUCCUGCUGAGGCUA
This is a non-coding RNA of Echinostoma caproni, 82 nucleotides long. The record is from Rfam. NCBI's taxonomy places the organism in Eukaryota, Metazoa, Platyhelminthes, Trematoda, Plagiorchiida, Echinostomatidae.